AUCAAUGGAACGGACCCACGUAUGUGGCAGUAAUUCCUUGGUUGGUUUGCGCAAGGUCUUUCGAUGCAUCAAGGCGUUGAAGGGUGGUUCGUGGAUGUAUGGUGUGGCGAGGAAAGGCAGCGUUUUGGGUUUUCUUUUUUGCUGACACGACCCCAGUGCUGAUUGGUGAUGGACAUGGGUACUUUGGAUCCCAAAGAGCUGACUCACCUUGAAAGAUAGAAGAAAUUGAAGCUGCAGAUGGGUCAGAAAGAAAUCAUCUUGAUGAUGGAGGGAGCAAGAACCUCUGAAACAUUGGUACAUUUCUACCAGAUUGCGUGACGUCACACCCCAGAAAACUGCCAUAUUCAUACUCACUGCCACGAGGCCCUCGAAUCGUACCAAACUAAUAAAUGCUGCCAUCAUAUCCUCGGAAGUGAACGUCACAGUUACCUGCUUUAGGUGUGUCUAAAUGGUGCAGACGAUGUUUCGCGUGACCCUGCUAGGUUUAGAGGACUGCCAUAACUGAAGAAGAGAGACUGUGUCAUCUGUGCAGGGAGAAGUUCUACAUUAUGCACUACACGGAUGGUCUCGUGUUCCAACCACCACCUACGUCACCUGGGCUGCAUUAGCAAGUUUCACAGGACCCAACAUUAGCAUCAUCUUCAAAUGGAAACCUCCGUAACACUUAUUACAUGCUGUAUAAUUAUGUUAAUGUUGGUACCAUUGUCUGUAAUCCAUCGUCUUCGUUUCUCUCGAGUACAGUGUUUUGGAAUCUGUACGUCUGUUAUCAGGCAAGAAAACUGGAGGAAACUUCCCACUCAGAUGGGCCCCUUGGAACGAGUGUUUCCACACGUGUUGCUUACCCACCACCCUGACGAUGGAGAGGACCUCUGAAAUAUUGGCAAAGAGCCUUGGCAUAACCAGUGCCGACUGGAGUCAGAAAUGUGAGGGCCUGGGAACUAACAGGAGCAGGGCAUGCCACACCUUGGCCAGCAGGAAGGAAAGGGACAUGAGAGGGAGAGGUCUGAGAAAGCAGCACCAGUGCCACAUCCGGCUGGACCAGUCAGAUAAAUCCGCUGUGGCCGUAACAUCCCAUACAGCAUUGCCAGUAAGCCAUUACCCUGCCCUUUUCAGGGCACACCACAUCCACUCACCUCCCAUAUGUCAGUUGAUAAUAUGGCAGGAACCUGAGGAGCCCUUAUGAGAGCCCCCCAUGUCCCCAGCUCCUAUUCGUUCCCAAUCCCCACUGCCAGUCUCCUAUAACUAAGUUUUUCCAUUACCCUGACGAUGGAGAGGACCUCUGAAGCAUUGGCAAACUUCAACCAGACUACAGGAGCUACAA
Zootermopsis nevadensis is the source of this 1321-nucleotide non-coding RNA. Lineage: Eukaryota; Metazoa; Arthropoda; Insecta; Blattodea; Termopsidae. The record is from RefSeq and is a predicted model, not a curated record.